This 520-nucleotide ribosomal RNA is filed under the name bacterium btn 13-2. Its description in RNAcentral is "bacterial SSU rRNA". It matches the Rfam family "Bacterial small subunit ribosomal RNA", at positions 335 to 847 of the family's 1533-position model. The record is from RNAcentral.
ACUCCUACGGGAGGCAGCAGUAGGGAAUCUUCGGCAAUGGACGAAAGUCUGACCGAGCAACGCCGCGUGAGUGAAGAAGGUUUUCGGAUCGUAAAACUCUGUUGGUAGAGAAGAACGUUGGUGAGAGUGGAAAGCUCAUCAAGUGACGGUAACUACCCAGAAAGGGACGGCUAACUACGUGCCAGCAGCCGCGGUAAUACGUAGGUCCCGAGCGUUGUCCGGAUUUAUUGGGCGUAAAGCGAGCGCAGGUGGUUUAUUAAGUCUGGUGUAAAAGGCAGUGGCUCAACCAUUGUAUGCAUUGGAAACUGGUAGACUUGAGUGCAGGAGAGGAGAGUGGAAUUCCAUGUGUAGCGGUGAAAUGCGUAGAUAUAUGGAGGAACACCGGUGGCGAAAGCGGCUCUCUGGCCUGUAACUGACACUGAGGCUCGAAAGCGUGGGGAGCAAACAGGAUUAGAUACCCUGGUAGUCCACGCCGUAAACGAUGAGUGCUAGAUGUAGGGAGCUAUAAGUUCUCUGUAUC